ACCCCUGUGGCUCAGUUGGUCGAGCAUGGUGUUUGCAACGCCAGGGUUGUGGGUUCGAUUCCCACGGGGGGGC
RNAcentral lists this transfer RNA (73 nucleotides) under Salmo salar (Atlantic salmon). It matches the Rfam family "tRNA". From Rfam's summary of the family: Transfer RNA (tRNA) molecules are approximately 80 nucleotides in length. Their secondary structure includes four short double-helical elements and three loops (D, anti-codon, and T loops). Lineage: Eukaryota; Metazoa; Chordata; Actinopteri; Salmoniformes; Salmonidae. The record is from Rfam by way of RNAcentral.